UGAGGAACAUGACUUUUGGCGGGGGAUAGCCGGCCCAACGGCCGGGUAAUACCGCGUACGACCUUUUGGGGACAUCCCCGAUUGGUGAAAGCAGCAAUGCGCCGAAAGAGUGCCUCGCGGCCUAUCAGCUAGUUGGUGGGGUAAUGGCUCACCAAGGCGACGACGGGUAGCUGGCCUGAGAGGAUGGCCAGCCACAUUGGAACUGAGACACGGCCCAGACUCCUACGGGAGCAG
This 234-nucleotide ribosomal RNA is filed under the name uncultured bacterium. Its description in RNAcentral is "partial 16S ribosomal RNA". It matches the Rfam family "Bacterial small subunit ribosomal RNA", at positions 118 to 347 of the family's 1533-position model. The record is from RNAcentral.